This is a non-coding RNA of Cinara cedri, 296 nucleotides long. The record is from the annotation of a GenBank genome assembly. NCBI's taxonomy places the organism in Eukaryota, Metazoa, Arthropoda, Insecta, Hemiptera, Aphididae.
CGUCAUAGUCAGGGUUUCUCUGCAUCUUCUGUCCGGGUCAGUUCAAUUCGCAUAUAGCACAUGAUUUGAGGCCGGACUAAGGGCGCAGUAGGUCCCGGAACCGAACAUGAAAACAUAUAAACAUUUUGUGUACACAAGUUUGUACUGCACACAUUUUUAACGAACAUUUUAUACGGACCAUUUACGCCCGUGGGUCCGGGAGCCAUGGCUUUUCCUGUCCCCUUAAUCCGGCUUACCUCGAAAAUAGUUGAAAUCGACCGAAAGCCAAUGUGUCAGAAGGAUUCGCACUGGAUGUA